AAGACUAUACUUUCAGGGAUCAUUUCUAUAGUUCACAACUAGAGAAGGUUCUCUGACUGUGUAGAGUACCAGACACACAAGGACAAGAUGUAGUGCUCCCUUCUGAGUGUGAAGUUAGCUUUUAAGCAGCUGCCUUUGCCUUUAAUGAUUGUUCUCUUCUUUUGGGAGAGUUAGAGGGAGGGAAUGAAGUCUAAGUGAU
RNAcentral lists this small nucleolar RNA (199 nucleotides) under Nannospalax galili (Upper Galilee mountains blind mole rat). Its description in RNAcentral is "Small nucleolar RNA U3 (ENSNGAG00000007398.1)". It matches the Rfam family "Small nucleolar RNA U3". From Rfam's summary of the family: Small nucleolar RNAs (snoRNAs) are involved in the processing and modification of rRNA in the nucleolus. There are two main classes of snoRNAs: the box C/D class, and the box H/ACA class. The record is from Rfam by way of RNAcentral. Lineage: Eukaryota; Metazoa; Chordata; Mammalia; Rodentia; Spalacidae.